GAUGAACGCUGGCGGCGUGCCUAAUACAUGCAAGUCGAGCGAACAGACGAGGAGCUUGCUCCUCUGACGUUAGCGGCGGACGGGUGAGUAACACGUGGAUAACCUACCUAUAAGACUGGGAUAACUUCGGGAAACCGGAGCUAAUACCGGAUAAUAUAUUGAACCGCAUGGUUCAAUAGUGAAAGACGGUUUUGCUGUCACUUAUAGGUGGAUCCGCGCCGCAUUAGCUAGUUGGUAAGGUAACGGCUUACCAAGGCGACGAUGCGUAGCCGACCUGAGAGGGUGAUCGGCCACACUGGAACUGAGACACGGUCCAGACUCCUACGGGAGGCAGCAGUAGGGAAUCUUCCGCAACGGGCGAAAGCCUGACGGAGCAACGCCGCGUGAGUGAUGAAGGUCUUCGGAUCGUAAAACUCUGUUAUUAGGGAAGAACAAAUGUGUAAGUAACUAUGCACGUCUUGACGGUACCUAAUCAGAAAGCCACGGCUAACUACGUG
Molecule: ribosomal RNA, 497 nt
Filed under: uncultured bacterium
Lineage: Bacteria
Description: partial 16S ribosomal RNA
Rfam family: Bacterial small subunit ribosomal RNA
Source: RNAcentral